RNAcentral lists this ribosomal RNA (511 nucleotides) under Melanargia ines. RNAcentral describes it as "partial 16S ribosomal RNA". Lineage: Eukaryota; Metazoa; Arthropoda; Insecta; Lepidoptera; Nymphalidae. The record is from RNAcentral.
GUCUUUUUGAAAUAAUUUAAAGUCUAAUCUGCCCACUGAUAAAAUUAAAGGGCUGCAGUAUAAUGACUGUACAAAGGUAGCAUAAUCAUUAGUUUUUUAAUUGGAAACUUGUAUGAAAGAUUUGAUGAAAUAUAAGCUGUCUCUAAUUUAUUAAUUGAAUUUUAUUUUUUAGUAAAAAAGCUAAAAUAAAUUUAAAAGACGAGAAGACCCUAUAGAGUUUUAUAUUUUAUUUUAUUUAAAAAUUAUAUAAAAAUUAAUAUUUAAAUAAAAUUAAUUAUUUUAUUGGGGUGAUAGAAAAAUUAAAUGAACUUUUUUUAAAAAUUAAACAUAAAUAAAUGAUUAAAUGAUCCAUGAAUAAUGAUUAUAAGAAAAAAUUACCUUAGGGAUAACAGCGUAAUAUUUUUUUUUAGUUCAAAUAAAAAAAAAAGUUUGCGACCUCGAUGUUGGAUUAAGAUAAAAUUUAAAUGCAAAAGUUUAAAAUUUUGAUCUGUUCGAUCAUUAAAAUCUUACA